Molecule: ribosomal RNA, 439 nt
Filed under: uncultured bacterium
Lineage: Bacteria
Description: partial 16S ribosomal RNA
Rfam family: Bacterial small subunit ribosomal RNA
Source: RNAcentral
CUACGGGAGGCUGCAGUGAGGAAUAUUGCACAAUGGGGGGAACCCUGAUGCAGCAACGCCGCGUGGAGGAUGACGCAUUUCGGUGUGUAAACUCCUUUUAUAUGUCAAGAAAAUGACGGUAGCAUAUGAAUAAGCACCGGCUAACUCCGUGCCAGCAGCCGCGGUAAUACGGAGGGUGCAAGCGUUACUCGGAAUCACUGGGCGUAAAGGACGCGUAGGCGGGUUGGAAAGUCAGGUGUGAAAUCCUACAGCUUAACUGUAGAACCGCACUUGAAACUUCUAAUCUAGAGUAUGGGAGGGGGAGAUGGAAUUAGUGGUGUAGGGGUAAAAUCCGUAGAUAUCACUAGGAAUACCUAAAGCGAAGGCGAUCUCCUGGAACAUUACUGACGCUAAGGCGUGAAAGCGUGGGGAGCAAACAGGAUUAGAUACCCUUGUAGUC